GAUGGCGGCCGGGCUGGGGCCGCGGCUGCUGGCCUUGGCCUUGGCCUUGGGGCCGGCCGGUGUGAGUGCUCAAUGGAAGCUGGGGGUGUCUGGUGGAGGUGUUCGUGUACCAGGGGAAUCUGUGCACCUCUCCUGCCAGGGAUCCGGAUUCAGAUUUGAAGAUUAUUAUGUCCGGUGGUACCGUCAGGCACCCGGUGGAAGUCUCGAGUGGGUGUCCUACAUCCACUUUGAUGGUAGCACAAUAAAAUAUGGCAAAGCGGUGGAGGGCCGAGCCACAGCUUCCCGGGACAAUUCCCAGUCCAAGGCUUCUCUGUCCCUGCAUGCCCUGGUACCCCAGGACUCUGCCCACUACUUCUGUGCAGUUCGCACAGGGACAGGAAAUCCAGCUGAGCUUUAA
Molecule: non-coding RNA, 397 nt
Organism: Cygnus atratus (black swan)
Lineage: Eukaryota; Metazoa; Chordata; Aves; Anseriformes; Anatidae
Source: the annotation of a RefSeq genome assembly